Molecule: ribosomal RNA, 420 nt
Filed under: uncultured archaeon
Lineage: Archaea
Description: partial 16S ribosomal RNA
Rfam family: Archaeal small subunit ribosomal RNA
Source: RNAcentral
CUACGGGGGGCACCAGGCGCGAAACCUUUACAAUGCACGAAAGUGUGAUAAGGGAAUCCAGAGUGCUUAGUUUUACUAGGCUUUUGCCAAGAGUAAAUAUCUUGGAGAAUAAGUGGUGGGAAAGACUGGUGCCAGCCGCCGCGGUAACACCAGCGCCACGAGUGGGAAUCCUUUUUAUUUGGCCUAAAGCGUCCGUAGCUGGGUAUGUAAAUCUCUUGUGAAAUUGUUCUGCUUAACAGAACAGCGUGCAGGAGAGACUGCAUAGCUAGGGACCGGGAGGAGUCAGAGGUAUGCUGUGUGGAGCGGUAAAAUGCUAUAAUCCUCGGUAGACCACCUGUGGCGAAGGCGUCUGACUAGAACGGGUCCGACAGUGAGGGACGAAAGCCAGGGGAGCAAACCGGAUUAGAUACCCGAGUAGUC